Non-coding RNA from Zea mays, 114 nucleotides. The record is from Rfam. Lineage: Eukaryota; Viridiplantae; Streptophyta; Magnoliopsida; Poales; Poaceae.
GAGAGCACAGUACGAUGAAAGUUGUAAGCUGUGUUCGGGGGGGAGUUAUUGCCUAUCGUUGUCCUCUAUGGUAGAACCCGUCGGGGAGGCCUGAGAGGCGGUGGUUUACCUUGU